UACAUGUGGGGCAAGCGUUGUUCGGAAUUACUGGGCGUAAAGCGUGCGCAGGCGGUUUCUUAAGUCAGAUGUGAAAGCCCCGGGCUUAACCUGGGAACUGCGUUUGAAACUGGGAGACUUGAGUGUGGGAGAGGUGAGUGGAAUUUCCGGUGUAGCGGUGAAAUGCGUAGAUAUCGGAAGGAACACCCGUGGCGAAGGCGGCUCUCUGGGACGGUACUGACGCUGAGACGCGAAAGCGUGGGGAGCGAACAGG
Molecule: ribosomal RNA, 253 nt
Filed under: uncultured bacterium
Lineage: Bacteria
Description: partial 16S ribosomal RNA
Rfam family: Bacterial small subunit ribosomal RNA
Source: RNAcentral